This 880-nucleotide ribosomal RNA is filed under the name Sporothrix brasiliensis. RNAcentral describes it as "LSU rRNA". It matches the Rfam family "Eukaryotic large subunit ribosomal RNA", at positions 38 to 949 of the family's 3401-position model. Lineage: Eukaryota; Fungi; Ascomycota; Sordariomycetes; Ophiostomatales; Ophiostomataceae. The record is from RNAcentral.
GCAUAUCAAUAAGCGGAGGAAAAGAAACCAACAGGGAUUGCCCCAGUAACGGCGAGUGAAGCGGCAACAGCUCAAAUUUGAAAUCUGGCCCCCCGGCCCGAGUUGUAAUUUGGAGAGGAUGCUUCUGGCGCGGCGCCGUCCGAGUUCCUUGGAACAGGACGCCACAGAGGGUGAGAGCCCCGUACGGACGGACGCCUAGCCUCUACGAAGCUCCUUCGACGAGUCGAGUAGUUUGGGAAUGCUGCUCAAAAUGGGAGGUAAAUUUCUUCUAAAGCUAAAUACCGGCCAGAGACCGAUAGCGCACAAGUAGAGUGAUCGAAAGAUGAAAAGCACUUUGAAAAGAGGGUUAAAAAGUACGUGAAAUUGUUGAAAGGGAAGCGCCUGUGACCAGACUUGCGCCCCGCGGACCACCCGGCGUUCUCGCCGGUGCACUCUGCGGUGCGCAGGCCAGCAUCGGUUCUCCCAGGGGGACAAAGGCCGCGGGAACGUAGCUCCUUCGGGAGUGUUAUAGCCCGCGGCGGCAUGCCCCUGGGGGGACCGAGGACCGCGCUUCGGCAAGGAUGCUGGCGUAAUGGUCACCAGCGACCCGUCUUGAAACACGGACCAAGGAGUCAAGCAUUGGGGCGAGUGUAUGGGUGCCAAACCCGCACGCGAAAUGAAAGUAAACGCAGGUGAGAGCUUCGGCGCAUCAUCGACCGAUCCUGAUGUCUUCGGAUGGAUUUGAGUAAGAGCCUUACCGCUUGGACCCGAAAGAUGGUGAACUAUGCCUGAAUAGGGUGAAGCCAGAGGAAACUCUGGUGGAGGCUCGCAGCGGUUCUGACGUGCAAAUCGAUCGUCAAAUUUGGGCAUGGGGGCGAAAGACUAAUCGAACCAUCUAGAA